AGAACCCAUGCGGAUAUAGUUUUCAUAUAAUUCAUCCCCUUGGCCAAAAUGAUCAUAGGACACCCCAGAGUUCAACUGUCAACUCUGAUCAGGUUGUCCACAUUGUAUUUCAAAAUAUCAAAUCCAUCUGAUGGAUUACCCUGGCCAAGGUUUUGCUAAAUUGAAAUACAAUGACUCAUUCUUCUCCAACUCUUGGAGUGGUCAAUCCCAUCUCGAUCACACUCUGACUUUGCAAGUACUUGACUGUGCCCAGAAGCCUUCCAUCUCUGAAUUAAAAAUUCAGUUAGUCCAGUACCAAAGCACAGUGAGUUGCUUGCAAGUCACUGAGGUGAUCUCAGGUCUAAGGGACACUUAUACCUAUAUCCCAUCAGAG
This 373-nucleotide long non-coding RNA is filed under the name Elaeis guineensis (African oil palm). Its description in RNAcentral is "long non-coding RNA (EGUI_LNC061026)". The record is from RNAcentral. Lineage: Eukaryota; Viridiplantae; Streptophyta; Magnoliopsida; Arecales; Arecaceae.